CCUGCCUUUCAGUUGGGGAUAACCGAGGGAAACUUUGGCUAAUACCGAGUUCGUGCUUCGAAGGCAUCUUCGGAGCAUAAAAGGGGCCUGUAAAGCCUCGCUGAUUGAUGGACCUGCGGCGCAUUAGUUAGUUGGUGAGAUAACAGCCCACCAAGACGAGGAUGCGUAGCCGACCUGAGAGGGUGAUCGGCCACACUGGAACUGAGACACGGUCCAGACUCCUACGGGAGGCAGCAGUAGGGAGUUUUCGGCAAUGGGGGAAACCCUGACCGAGCAACGCCGCGUGAGUGAUGAAGGUCUUCGGAUUGUAAAGCUCUGUUAUAAGGGAAGAACGGCAGCUAGAGGAAAUGCUAGCUGUUUGACGGUACUUUAUGAGAAAGCCACGGCUAACUACGUGCCAGCAGCCGCGGUAAUACGUAGGUGGCAAGCGUUAUCCGGAAUUAUUGGGCGUAAAGAGUGAGCAGGCGGCAGUUUAAGUUUGGAGUCAAAGCGAGGGGCUCAACCCCUUAACGCUCUGAAAACUGAACAGCUAGAGUGCGAGAGAGGUAAGUGGAAUUCCAUGUGUAGCGGUGAAAUGCGUAGAUAUAUGGAGGAACACCAGUGGCGAAGGCGACUUACUAGCUCGAUACUGACGCUCAGUCACGAAAGCGUGGGUAGCAAAUAGGAUUAGAUACCCUAGUAGUCCACGCUGUAAACGAUGAGAACUA
RNAcentral lists this ribosomal RNA (707 nucleotides) under uncultured bacterium. RNAcentral describes it as "bacterial SSU rRNA". It matches the Rfam family "Bacterial small subunit ribosomal RNA", at positions 125 to 818 of the family's 1533-position model. The record is from RNAcentral.